CGAUCCAACCAAUCUUCAUAAUAUCCAGAUAUUGAAAAUAAAAAAGAAAUUUUUGAAACCAACAUCAAAAUUUCGAACCACAGUUUUCAACACCCAAUUCCCCAGCUAACUAAAUGAGUUUACUUUUUGGUUGGCGUUUAACUUAAAGAUUUGGUUUUUGGUCAAAAUCGGUGACCAGUGCUUUAUUGUUUCUUCUGAAAUUUUACAUCGAUCUUUUCAGUAUUUAUGGGAUUCAUCUGUUAUCAUAAUUUACUUAAAGUAACAUUCAUCCCUGAACAAUAAUUCUUCAAAAGAAAGAAUACCCAUAAAUUUAAAUUUAAAUAAAAAGCAAUAAAACCAUUACAACAACAACAACAACAACAACAACAAAGCCUUUUCCCACUAAGUGGGGUCGGCUAUAUGAAUCCUAGAACGCCAUUGCGCUCGGUUUUGUGUCAUGUCCUCCUUUAGAUCCAAGUACUCUAAGUCUUUUCUUAGGGUCUCUUCCAAAGUUUUCCUAGGUCUUCCUCUACCCCUUCGGCCCCGAACCUCUGUUCCGUAGUCACAUCUUCGAACCGGAGCGUCAGUAGGCCUUCUUUGCACAUGUCCAAACCACCGUAACCGAUUUUCUCUCAUCUUUCCUUCAACUUCGGCUACUCCUACUUUACCUCGGAUAUCCUCAUUCACAAUCUUCUCCUUUCUCGUGUGCCCACACAUCCCACGAAGCAUCCUUAUCUCCACUACACCCAUUUUGUGUAUGUAUUGAUGCUUCACCGCCCAACAUUCUGUGCCAUACAACAUCGCUGGCCUUAUUGCCGUCCUAUAAAAUUUUCCCUUGAGCUUCAGUGACCUACGACGAUCACACAACACGCCGGAUGCACUCUUACACUUCAUCCAUCCAGCUUGUAUUCUAUGGUUGAGAUCUCCAUCUAAUUCUCCGUUCUCUUGCAAGAUAGAUCCUAGGUAGAGAAAACGGUCGCUUUUUGUGAUCGUCACUAGAUUGCUCCAGUCAUUAGUGUGGAUAAGUAUAAAUGGAUAGAGAUAGGAAAGCAAACACCAGAUGUACGUGGUUCACCCAUAUUGGCUACGUCCACGAAAUAGAGGAGUUCUUAUUAAUUGUGAAGGGUUUACACAAGUACAUAGGUUCAAGCUCUCUUUUAGUGAGUACAAGUGAAUGAUUUAGUACAAAUGACAUUAGGAAAUAUUGUGGGAGAAUGAUCUCGUAAUCACGAAACUUCUAAGUUCCGGAGUGUGGUAUCGUCUUGACUUGCCUUAUCUGUCUCGUAGGUAGAUGUGGCAUCUUCUCUGGAAGUACUCUUCCUCCAUCCAGGGGUGGUAUCUUUAACUGGUGGAGAUGCACAAGGUAAUGUAUCAAUUUCACUUGAAGCUUACUUGUAGUUUCAGGCUUGGUCAAGCGCGAUACAAACCAUGUAGUAGGAGUCCUCCAAGUCACCGAGCUAGGGGAUCUGCUGAAAGAGGUGACAGACAAGGUAAGCAAUCAGAGCUCCAAGCAAUCAGUCCCAGAUCAGAACUUUGAUUUCGAGUUCCGGCUGAUUGUUCACAUUCUCCCUAUCUUGCAGGCAGCAUGAAGGAUAAAGAGAAGAAAAAUGAGAAGAGAUGAUAUGGGAUACUUUUGCUUUUGAAGAAGUAACUUUCCACAGGCUUAUUCUUGAACUGGGCUGGAGGGUUUUCUGGUUUCCUCCAGAGUAUAAGGCCGACUGAAGAAUUUGAGGGUCAAAACAAGUCCAUCAAAUCUAUAGUACGUUCGACCCUGCUGAUAUGGGAUACUUUUGCUUUUGACAGAGUAGUGGAUGUAUCGGCACGUGUGCUGUUACGCUUGUCUCCACAUGCUUCCUUGUAUCCUUCUCACUUGCCCUAUAUGUUCCUCAGGCAGAUGCGGUAUCUUCCCUGGAAGCAUAAGAUGUUGAAGAUGAGUACUCGAGAGCAAUGCCAGGUAAGUAAUCAAGUAAGGGGUUCCAGGCAGUCAGUUCCUGACUGGAAGCUUGAUUCCAAGUGCUGACUGAUUGCUCUCUUUCUCCUUGUCUUGUAGGUAAGAACAAGGCCAAAGGAAAAGACAGGGAAAAAACAUGAUAUGGGAUACUCUUGCUUUUAACCCUGAUGAUAUGAGAUAUUCUUGCUCUAGUAUAGCUUGUUUGCAGAGGUAUUAUCGGGGGGAAAGAAAGCUGAAUAUUUCGAAAGGCUUCUUUGGGAGUGCCCUCUCAGAUAUGAGGAAGGGUUGAGCAUUUUUGCAGGUCUGCCUGUCUGUUGGGGAUGGAGGUCAACAUAUAUAGGAGUCUCCCUAACAACAAGUAGUAAUGCUAUUCCUUUACCCUGCUUGGUCAUAACACGGUAGUGGGAGCUGCCAGCUUCACAUGUUUUAACUUUGUCAGAGCACUUUGAAAAAGUGGUCUAUGGUAUCUGGAAAGCUGAUGUUGCGUGUAAAGAUUACAGACAAGCUUUAUCCAAGGAGAUCCGGCUCUUGAAGUUGGGAAAGUGGUGCCUCUUCGGUUUUCGAACAAGCAAUCAUGUCGAAGAUCUGGCUCUCGAGGUUCGAAGAACGAUGCCUUUUCGAUUUUUGAGAAAGCCAUCCUGCUAGGGGUCUGGCUCUCGAGAUUCGGAGAGCGGUGUCUCUUUGAUUUUUGAGAAAGUAAUCAUGUUAGGAGUCUGGCUCUCGAGAUUCGGAGGGCGGUGCCUCUUCGAUUUCGGAGCAAGCAAUUUUGUUGGGAGUGUUUUCUCGAAUGUGAGAAAAGGUUGGGCAUGUUUGCUAGUCUAUCUUGCCACGAAGCACAGAGGUUGACACACAGGAACUUUCCAAUUAUCCAGCAGUGGUACUGUUCCUUUACCCUUGUGGGUAAUAAUAUGGUAGCUAGACCUUCAAAAUUUAUGUGUCUAAACUUUGUUAGUGCUGUUUCUUUGCUAUUCUUUUACCCUUCUUGGUUAAAGCGGUGUAGUGGGAGCUGCAAGCUUCACGUGUCUCAACUUUGUCAGAGAACUUUGGCAAAGUUAUCUGUGGUACCCAUGAGCUAAUGUUGCGUGUGGGAAGUGGGUGAUUGAACAGUAAGAUUCAUGUGCUUUCUACUUCACCAGAAAUCUUCGACAUAAUGCCCAUAAUUUCCGCAAAGCUGACAGGUGCUGACAAGGCUGGAAAAGUAGGUGCCUCUUCGAUUUCUGAGAUCGGCCAUCGUGGUCUCUGAGCAGCCCAGCUUUUGAGAAAGCAAGCGCCUCUUCGAUUUCUGAGAUCGGCCUUCGUGGUCUUUGAGCAGCCCAACUUUUGAGAAAGCAAACGUCUCGUGGUCUCUGAGCAGCCCAGCUUUUGAGAAAGCAAACGCCUCUUCGAUUUCUGAAGCUCCGUCGAGUGCAGAUUUUUAUAGAGGCUGGCAUUAAGUUCCAAAGCACACUUGAAUCUCCACCAGUAGAAACUCCAUUCUUGCACUUCUAAGAUCUUGAUUUGUCCGACCUCUUCUCUCUUCAACACCUUUGAAAAUGUCUGGCCUCUCGUACCGUCGUUUUGACUUGAACCUUGUUGAAGAGGCAGCCACGCCUUCUCCAGACAACAUAUGGCGCCCAUCCUUCGUCUCCCCUACUGGUCCUCUUACUGUUGGGGAUUCCGUGAUGAAGAAUGAUAUGACCGCUGCGGUAGUGGCCAGGAACCUUCUCACUCCCAAAGAUAACAGACUACUUUCCAAACGGUCUGAUGAGUUGGCUGUUAAGGAUUCUCUGGCUCUCAGUGUUCAGUGUGCAGGUUCUGUGUCUAACAUGGCCCAACGCCUAUUUGCUCGAACCCGCCAAGUUGAAUCAUUGGCGGCUGAAGUGAUGAGUCUCAAACAGGAGAUUAGAGGGCUCAAGCAUGAGAAUAAACAGUUGCACCGGCUCGCACAUGACUAUGCUACAAACAUGAAGAGGAAGCUUGACCAGAUGAAGAAAUCUGAUGGUCAGGUUUUACUUGAUCAUCAGAGAUUUGUGGGUUUGUUCCAAAGGCAUUUAUUGCCUUCGUCUUCUGGGGCUGUACCGCGUAAUGAAGCUCCAAAUGAUCAACCUCUGCUGCCUCCUCCUUCUAGGGUUCUGUCCAGUACUGAGGCUCCAAAUGAUCCCCCUCCCGUGCCUGCUCUUUCUGGGGCUCUACCGACUGCUGAGACUUCUCCUAAGCAACCUUUGUGAAGGCUCCCUCUUGUUUGUUUAUUUUGACUCAUGUAUAUGUACAUAUUUGUGACUUAUCGGGGAUAUCAAUAAAUAGUUUUCCUUCAUUUCAACGUAUUGUGUUGAAUACACCAAAGCCUUCUUCGCUAAGUUCUCUGAAUUUUCUUUUGUUGAAGCUUGUAUGUUGAAGCUUUGUGAAUGGAGCAUGUAGGUUGAGGUAGUAUUCCCUUAAUUUCCCGAGUGAGGAAAACUUCUUGGUUGGAGACUUGGAAAAUCCAAGUCACUGAGUGGGAUCGGCUAUAUGAAUCUUUGAACGCCAUUGUGCUCGGUCCUGUGUCAUGUCCUCCGUUAGAUCCAAGUACUCUAAGUCUUUUCUUAGAGUCUCUUCCAAAGUUUUCCUAGGUCUUCCUCUACCCCUUCGGCCCUGAACCUCUGUCCCAUAGUCGCAUCUUCUAAUCGGAGCGUCAGUAGGCCUUCUUUGCACAUGUCCAAACCACCGUAACCGAUUUUCUCUCAUCUUUCCUUCAAUUUCGGCUACUCCUACUUUACCCCGGAUAUCCUCAUUCCUAAUCUUAUCCUUUCUUGUGUGCCCACACAUCCAACGAAGCAUCCUCAUCUCCGCUACACCCAUUUUGUGACAAAGAAUCCAGUACACACCAAACAAAGAAUUGAUAAACUAAUGGAAUUUGGGAUCGGCCAAUCGCAACAGAAGAAGCAGAUAAAGAAUAUAGCCCAUAAUCAAACCGUAAAAAUGGAGAGAUCAGCCAAUCGAUCCAAGAAAACAGAGAGAUAAGAGAAGAAACUGACCUAAGGACUCGCAUGAGGAAGAGCAGUCAAUCGAUCCAAGAUAAGCGGUUUUGGCAAAGCGAAGCAGAGCAGAUAAACUGUGAUGGUCUUAGCAGUCCGCUUCAAUUUGGGGGGUCUCGCUAAGGCCUCCUAGCGAAGGAGUUUGUCCAUGCGAGUCCCAUUUAGUCUUAUUAAACAUAAUCCUAGCACCUACCAAACACGGGAUUAGAUUCAUAGGUAGUCCAGUCUAGUCUAAGGAAGGUUAGUGAGGCCAAACAAACAUGCCCUAAGAUGCUAUCCAACCUCCUUAAAAACAUUGUUCUUUCAAAAUGUUACAAUGGUGUUGGACAUUAGGUACUUCAGGGUCAUCAACAUAGUGCUGAAUCAUAAAGAAUUACGAAUCAAAUUACAGGGCCUUCGCUAAAUCACAUUCCAAGAACAGAAGGUUAUAUGAACGAACACAAACCAAUUACAGAACUCACACUAAUUGAACACAAAUUUCAGCAAAUACCCAGAACAAAUAGCAAUAACUUGACCAUAACCCAGACCUAGAUUACAAAAAGCAGCUUGCCUUGACAUUGUUCUGACUUUUAAUCAGAGUAAAACUACAAAUAGGGACGUGCUUAUUCUCAUUCACGAAAAUACACAGAGGGGUGCUAAGAGACUUUCCAAGUUAAAUCACAAAUGGUUUCUAGUUCACAUAACUAAAAAUUAUCGUAGACAACCAAGAACGUAAAUAGAGAUUAGCAUGCUUCUUAAACCGGUUCUACUUUUCAUAUUUCCAUUUUAAUGUACCAGCAAGGAAACGAUAGUAUAUUCCAAAAUUAGCAGUUUACAGAGAAAUAUAAAUAUUGUUUUCAAGGAAUUAAUAUGAUUGCAAAUGUAAUAGCUCCAUAUAUAAUGAGGUAGGAGAAAUGAUGGAAGACGCACUGAAAUUUGAGGUAAAUAGGUUGAAAAGAGUCCAUAGCAUUGAUCCAUAUAUGGAUAUCUUGCACAGAUCUACAGUUCAAGCUCCGAACAAAGUAUCACUUUAUUAGCAAUUGUGACAUUCAUUAUUCCACAAAAAGUUAUUGAUUCACAAAUAAACAAAUGAAAGUAAGAGGAAAAGAAAUGCUCACCACAUGCUGGCUGAAUCCGAGCUCAAAAUGACCACAAUAUUUUCCCAAUGAUGAUUACAGAGAGUUUGCUGCCUGGGACUUCUGUCCAUCCCCUGAAAACAAUGUCAUGAACUUAUUUAUUGGAUAAAUGUGUGUGUACCCAAGAACUACACUGAAACAACCACAAAGAUUCAAACUUCCAUAGUAAAUAUGAUCUGCAACUAAUAAAAAAAUAAUCGACUGGAAAUCACAUAUAAACCCAAAUGAAUCUGAACCCACCAAGUAAAACUAAAAAACACCCUAAAUAGACAAUCAAUCAAACAGAACCAAAUGGGGGUUUAGUAGCUUCAAAAAUUUUGUAUUAAAGCCAAUUAUGAAGCACAAAACAUCACCCAAAAAUGGAAAACGAGGUAAAACUAAGCAAAAGUCGAAGAAAAAGAGAUGGAUACCUUUCUUUUCCACUUCAGAUUUCUGGGUACUUUGGAUUUCUGAAUACAAACCAAUAAUAUCAAUCCAAUUUUUCCUAUGUAUUUAUAGUAAUUUCAUCCCAAAAAGUGACAUAGCAAACCGGCUACCACCUGAGUUCCUCUGAAAAAUAUUAACAAAAACUAAAAUUUUAAGAAAAAAAAAUGAAGUUAUUUUCUCCUGUAAGGGACCAUGCCAGUAUCCAAUUCAAUGGAGGGUUUUUACAAAUCCAAAACUAUAAAAAAAUGAGAAACAAAUUAAAAGUUGAGAUCAAUGAACACUGUACCUUACAGUAAACACACAGAGCUCUUUGAUAAACCCUUAGCAAAAAUUCUUUCAAUAACCUUCUUGCAUAGCACGGCCCAAGAAGAACCAAACCAUUUGAAAAACUUAUAUUCAAAACAUAACAAAACUAAAUGAAAUAUCAAACCCCAGAAAUCAUAAUGCUUCUAUACAGUGAAUGAUCUUUAUGAACCACAAUUUGUAAAAUCCUAAAAGCUUAUCACUGGAAGAUGGGAAUUACACAUUUCCAUUGGACCUAAGGAUCAUACACCCAACAUCAAACACCUCAUCGUGAUCAAACCCAACUAAACUUUCAUUCAAUUAAGUCUCAAACACUAUAAUCAAGUUAAAAAGAACAGUCCAAUUCUACCAAAACUAUAUACAGAAACCGAGAAAAACAGAAAAAACAGUGGUGCAAAGGUGUAUAAUGACACUAAAUCUUCAAAUGAAAUAAAAAAACAUACCCAAACCAAUAUAAAAGCCAAAGUCAUCCCUAGCAACUGUAAAAUAACAAUUAAAAAACGAAACCCAUAUAAGUUCAUAACAAAUUAAAACGUCUAGAUCAACAUUAACAUUAAAUUAGCUACAAACCUACAUAAACUAACACUACAUUAGACUAAACUAAUAAAAUAUAAGCUUCAAAUCAAAUUCCAAAUAAAAAAUUUGGAUAAAACCAACAACAAAACCACACCUUGUUCCUGUUCUGUCUCCCUUAUCAUGCUUUUUUCUUUUGCCUACUCCCCACAUUAAGCCUUUUUUCCCUAUUUUUUUUUCUCUUCACUUUCCUCGGUUUCCAGUCCCCUCCCCCCCCUUUCUCCCACAUCUAUCUUUUCUUCCUCAUUUUUUCCAUCACUACUAUUGACACUAAUUCUCCACUCUUUUUUAUCUCUUAAUUAUUUCACUCAAUCAAAACAUGGGAUCACAUUUUCUCAAGCAGCCCAAAAAACUGACCAACCAAAAUCAGAAAAACAUCCAAACUAAAACAUACAAUCACCAUUGUCAAGCAGCAAACGAUAAAUUAGAAAUUCAAAACAAAGAAAAAAAAGAAAAACAGAAACGCACUAAAACAUGCCAUCGGUGAACACCAUACCUUGAAAAGGGUAGACACACACAGCUAUUCGAGACCGAUCCCACCGAAACAAAAUUUGUGCGUUUCGACAAAAGGGGAAGAAAUCCAAAUCUCAACCAAUGGCCCGUCGUCUGAAAAUCGAGAGCGCAAACAAAAUCCCAAAAUAAACCAAAAGCAGGGUUUCCCUGGUGGGUAUUUUGUGAGAGGGAAAACGGAAGAUUUGAGGGCGGGAGAAAAGAAAGGAAAGGUGGGUUCGUGGUGAGUGAAGGGGUGAAAAGAAAUCCCUGGAAAUCAGCCUACCCCAUACUUCUCCCUUACUCUUUCUCCCUAAACCCAUACCUCCCUGCCGUAAAUCCUCUCCCCUACGCCCAUACUCCCCCGUCUCUCUCUGCAACGGACAGAACUGUCCCUUCUCCAGUACGCGUCCGCCAUGUUUGAAGCUUGUCGAUCGUCACUACUUAGUUUGUAGGCUCCACGGAGAGAGAUAUGGGGAGCGGAGAGAAAGGAAGAGCCGAGGAAGAUGAAAGACUGGAUUUUCCAGUAGAGAAGAAGAGAGAGGAAGAGUGAGAGAUGAGGAGUGCGGGCUCCCCUUACGAGAUCAUUGAAUGGAAGAGUAAACUGUCGUUUACCCUGAACUUUCACCUCACUUCGAUUUCCCUCUUAACUUUUCCAUUGGAAAAUUAAGGACUUAAAUUAAUUGUUUUAGCCAAUUUACUCUCUACAGUUAGUUUUUCAUAUAUUUCAUCCAUAUUUUUGUUAAGUGAAACCAUGUGCACAACAUGUGAGGAUAGUUAAGUUAUUUCACUUUUAAAAAUGAUUAAAAAACUGAAAAUAAUAAAAAAAAUAAAACUUUCCCUCUAUUUUUUCCCGCUAAUUCCUAUCCACGAUUUUAUUCCCUCUCAUUCCUAUGCAUGAGAAAUGACAUAUGGUGUUAUUGUCUACCAUUUUUAUUUUCUCUAACAAAUUAAUAAUUUGAUAAAUGUUAAUGGUGCUAUUGUCUCCAAAGCAGCAUUAAUAUAAGAAACCCUAGUCUUUUUUAUGGACAUGCUUCUUAUAUUAAUGCACUGCUUUGGAGACAAUAACACCAUGAGCAUUUGUCAAAUUAUUAAUUUGUUAGAGAAAAUAAAAAUGGUAGUACAUGCUUAAAAAAAAAAGAUUAACUUAGCUACUUAUGAAGACAAUAACACCAUAUGUUAUUUCUCAUGCAUAGGAAUGAGAGGGAAAAUUAAAAUUGAGGAUAUGAAUUAGCGGGAAAAAAUAGAGGGAAAAUUAUUAUUAUUAUUUAUUUUCAGUUUUUAAUCAUUUUUAAAUUAAAAUGACUUAACUAUCCUCACAUGUUAUGCACAUGGUCUCACUUAACGGAAAUAUGGAUGGAAUAUAUGAAAAACUAACGGUAGGGGGCAAAUUGGCUAAAAAAAUUAGUUUGAGUCCUUAAUUUUCCAAUAGAAAAGUUCAGGGGGGAAAUCGAAAGUGAGGUGAAAGUUCAGGGGGUAAACCGACAGUUUACCCUUGAAUGGAAAUAUAACUGGAAAAAACGUAGCUUCUCCUUCCUUUUCACGAUGACCAACACGCGUCCCUUUGCAUUGAUGGCAUGGCCGUAAAUAAACUACAAUUCCCCAAAUCACUGUUCAACUGAACAGUGAUAGAGGGGGAAAGAAAAAGUGCUUGCAAUUUUGUAAAUAAAAUGGAAUUCGGCCAAAACACUGUUCAGUUUAACAGUACAAUUGGAUUUCCUACUUUAAACUAAAGUAAUGUGCUUAAUGGGGUUUCAGAUAAUUAUCAUAAAGUUAAUGUCUUUUUGUAGUAUUGUCGAUUUUAGUUUGGAUUCGAAAAGGGAUUUAGAUUGGUUAUUUUGUUGUGGGUUUGCUGCUUAAUGUUCAUUUAUAUUAAUAAGUUAUAACACUAGAAGAUGCACAUUGAAGAAGUUGUGAUGAGUUUUUGAAAAUUUGAAAGUCCAAAUAAGCAUUGGUGCUGCGUGCAUUUUGCUUGGGCGUGUAGGCUUAUGAAAGUCAUGUUUUACAACAAUUUUUAACAAAAAAAAAACAAGAGAAAAAUUAAGCAACUAAUAACAAUGGGGAGGACACUAAUAUAUCUUCUUUGGUGUAAAUAAGUUGAUGUAGAAUAGGUUGUUUUUUGCUUUCUUCUCUGCUACUUUGCUAAAUAGGAAUUCCCUGGUCCAUUUAGUUCUUCAAUAUUGGUCGAUAUAUAAUUUUACAUUUUGCAUUGGUAAUCUGGUGUGUAUAGCUCAGUUUUUCAAUUUAUUUUUGUAUGUAGGACUUCAUGGAAUGAGCUAUUGUUGGGAGAUGUACCCAUAAUGAUAUUACUGCUUCUAUUCCCAUUUUUUAGCACACUUCAUUUUUUGAGUUGUGCAACCAGGUUAGCUCAAUGGUUUGGUAGUUGGUUCAUUUAACCUUACAUAUGCUAUGAAUGGAUGCACAUGCUGUCUUUUUCGGAAUGUGAAAUGGAUGUGCGUGUAUUUCACACACAGUUGCAGCUAUCAUGCACAAAGGUAGCAAUCCUUAUUAUUACAUUGAAGACUAUUUCACAGUUGAGUACUGUAAGUCUUCAUAUUCUUUUUCAAUUGAACCGAUUCCUGACAUCCAUCAAACCCUACUUGAUAUAAUGAAGGAUUUUGUCAUCAAGCCUCCAAUGGCAAGAAAACAACCCCGCAGACUAAAGGUUAAGAGAAUUAAGUCUAAUGGGGAAGAAUCAAGACCAAUGAAGUGUGGGAGGUGCAAGAAGCUUGGACACCACAAUAAAAACACUUGCUCAACACCCUUUUGAUUAUCAAUCAUAUCUAUCUUUUUUUUAUAUAUAAUUUGCUCAACACCCUUUUGAUUUUGCUCAGUAUUAUGUUUUUGGUAAUAAAUCAUUAUGGUUUUUUUAUCUUACCAUUAUAAACGCUUCUCCUUCAUGCUUAAUGUUGUAUAUAGGGGUGGGUACAGGCUGGGCCGGGCCCAAUUUUGGAGGAACUGGACCUUACCUGUUUUAAACAGUAACGGGACGGGACGGGCCGGGUAGAGGGACUUUGAGUUUUGGAACCGGACCUAACCCGAUCGAUUUCAAACGGGCCGAUUCGGGGCGGGUCCAUGGGUCCAACUCUUUUUCUUUUUUUUUGUAAUUUAUAAACUGCACUGCACAUCAACACAUACAUGUUUUAGAAAAUUACAAGACCUGAAGCUCCACCACAUACUGCAAUACAUAGAUAUCCAAGGUCUUAUGAUCUUCUCCACAUAAACUGUCGCAUAAAAAAAUAAAAUAUUUCCCAAGCUCAUAGAAUCAAAAUUAUACCACCAAAUAUAGCAACCAAAAUACAUUCCACAACAUUAGGCAUCAAGGAGACAUCUUGAAAUUAGCAAAAAAAAAAAAAAAACUAUAGCCAAAUAUGCAGAUCCACAAUAUCUGAGCACAUUGAAACAAAACUUCACACCUGUCAAGCAGAACUAAGCACAACUCCUCAAACUUCGCCCUUGUAAGGGUUGUCUCAAUGUGCUUCAGCCCAUAGGCAGUUGCAGUAAUGAAAGGCAGACUGGAACAAAACAAUUAUCACCAAAUAGAUGAUCACAAGAGAAUACUCAAUGGCUAAAAAAUGCUUCGGAAUAAUGAAGGUUCUCAGAUACUGAAAGCAUACCUAAUGUUAGCCUGAGUUAAAGAUGACAACUCCAUCAUUGUGAACUUAUCAACCUCAAUGAUCUGAGAAUUGCGAGACGUAUCAACGCGAAUCCAGGACCACCAAAACAAAAACGAAAGCAUCAGAAAUCCAAAAGCUACAAGCUUGGUGGCUCAAAUCUGUGAUUAAUUUCAACAUGUUCAGAAGGUAAUAACUAAAUCAGAACCAACCUUCAUUUUUUUCUUAUGGCAGAUUAUAGGUUUUAUCAUGUAUCAUCACCAAAUAUACAAUUCAAUAAAAAAGAUUAGAACUUUAUCAUCAUCAUCAUCCCAGAUGGUCAACUUUUAAAUCAUGCAACUUUGACCACUUGUUGCAUUCAGCUGAAUCCAUAAAUCCCUCUCAGUUUUCUCAACAAUCCAUCAUAAAAAAUAAAAAUUAUCCAAUGAAUUAUAGAAACAAAACAAAAUCAGUACAAGAUUAAACCUUUAGCUAUUCAUCUGACUAAAUUGGAAAAUAAAAUUAAAAAACAAAAAAACAAAACUACCCAACUCAAAUUCAUCAACGGAAAUCCAUAGCGCAAUCCGAACAUACCCAAUCGCAAUUUCGAAAUAAGACGAAAUAUGAAUUGACAAAUAAAAAAAAAUUGAUUUUAGAGGGACUUACCGAGUGAUCGGAUACGGGAGGAGGCCGAUUGACGAAGGUGAAUUACAUGUUUAAAUUUAUUUGAAUAAAAAUAUUAAUUAAUUAAUAUGGAGUAAGAGAUUAAUUAUUCAUCCUAGUUUGUUGUUGAGCCUGCAAGUACAAAAACCCAGAUCCUAAACUAGAGUGCGAAAUUAAAUUAAUCCCCAGAAUGGAACACAAUAACUCAAAAUCCCUAAAUCUAGAGAAAAAAAAACCCUAAUUCCAUAAAUCCCUAAAGGCUAAAAUUAAAUACCUUUUGUUUGAAUAUUUGGCUUCAAGAUUGACUCAGGAGUUUGGAGACUCAAGACCGUGAGGUGGUGGUCGAAGUUGAGAGGAGAGGAUGGUGGUGGCCGGAGACUCGGAGUCAACUUCUGAGAAGCUGCGGGAUCUCAACCAUCGCGAUUCGAGUGGGAGUCAGUCUAGACGAUAGAGAUACUAGAGGAAGACUGAGGAGAGAAGAUUCAACAUUCAAUAUGGGAGUCGAGUCUUUGCAAAAGUGAACGGUAGAAAGUUCGGCCCUAGACUGAUAUAUGGGCGAGAUAUGAACAACAUAGAUGUAAUCUCCACCUAAAAACACUAGAUACGGCUCGGGCCGGGGGCCCGUGUCUUCAGGAAUUAGGAACCGCCCCGCCCCGCUUUUUACUUGGACCCGGCCCGUCCCGCCACGUUGUGAUAUAAAAAAACACGGACCCGCCUCGAACCCGCCUCGAAUCGCUAGUACCCGUCCCUACUUGCGGGUCCAGGACCCGUUUGCCCACCCCUAGUUGUAUAUGCUCAAUUAUGAUACAAUUUUGAAAGACAUAGCUCAUCUUCAAAAUAUUCUCGAUAUCUCAUAAACCCAUAUAUUAGGGAACCAUUUGGUAAUUUACAAUAGUUCAAACUUAUCGCAUUAAUAUGUCAAUAACAUUAAUUAGCUUACCUAUUAGUUGAUAGUUUAAUACCAAUUGAUCAUUAAUCAUCGAACUAAUGACAAAAGACAAACCAAAUAAUUGGUACGUUUGGAUUAACACACCAACACUUUGCCAAAUCCUUAUGUUUCAAAAAUAAAAAAAUUUUACAUACCUAAUGCUUGGAAUGAUCUAAUUUAAUAUUAUUUCAUGAAACAAACGAUUAAUAUGAGUCAAUGUAACAUUAAGUAAUGUACCAAACUCUUGGUACAUUACAAACACACAAUGUAUAAUGCUUUUCUAGACCGAUACGUUUCAAAAAUAAAAAACUUUACGUACCAAACGCCUGGAAUGAUCUAAUUUAAUAUUAUUUCAUAAACCAAACAAUCAAUAUGAGUCAAUGUAACAUUAAGUAACAUACCAAACUCCUGGUACAUCACAAACACACUGUAUAACAUAUUUCCAGACUGAUACAUUUCAAAAAUAAAAACUUUACGUACCAAACGAUCAAUAUAUGUCAGCAUAACAUUAAAUGACGUACCAAACUCUUGGUACAUUACAAAGUUGCAGUCCAAUGAUGUACCAAAUUAAAAAUGUUACCUAGUACAUUUGAGCCAACGCACAAACAUAAAUCAAAUGGAAAAGGAUCUGAGGAUCCUUUUCCUGGGGAUCCUAGAUAUCUCGUGAUCGCGACCGUUCAUCGUACGUUGUCCUGUUAGUUUUCCCUAGGUACUAUUUAUAUUUAAUUUUAAUUUUUAAAUUUUAAAAUAAUUUCUGACCGCACAAUGUACGAUGGACGGUCCUGAUCACGAGAUCCCUAGGAUCCCCCAGAAAAGGAUCCGGCGAGGAUCCUUACAAAGUCAACUUAUAUUCUCAACAGAGCAAUAAAAAUUACUUGCAAGUAUGUUUCUACUAAACCAAAAUAAAUACAAAAUAUUAUCCUAAUGAAGGAAUCUGGAUCCUCUUUGUGAGGAUCCCGGAGAUCCAUGAAUCGUGUCCAUUCAUCGUACAUCGCGCGGUCAGAAAUCAUUUAAAUAUUUUUAUUUAAAAUUAAACACAAACAGUAUCUGACAAAAACUGACCGCAUGAUGUAUGAUAAACGGACACGAUUCACGGAUCCCCACGAUUCACCACAAUGAUGCCUUAUUCAAGUAGUACUAAUAUAGUAGCAUUUUGCCUACUCCAAUAAAAUUCAUUGUUUAAAAGACUGCUUACUAUUGUAGCUCUCAUUUCCUUCAUGUCAUAAUUUGCAAAAUAUUAAAAAACGGGUAAGCCAGAAGCCAUGCUAUCCAUGAUGUUUAUAACUGCAAUGCCACAAUCUAAUCUGCAAUAUAGAUAAAUGUUAGUUACACACACACACAAUAGUGAUAGUAUACAUAUAUAUGUACUUUACGAGUCUGAUUUUUGUUGCGAGCUAUGUAACGUUCGCUGCAUUGGGAUAUCAAGGUCCAUGCCAUUUAGAAUCUUCAAAGUUGCUCUUUCAUUGUCAUUUAGAGGUUGAUUCAUAGAAUCACUCAUAGUAUUGGUACGUAUAACUACACGUUUGUUAAUUUUGCCAUUGCGCAAUGCCGACUUUGCUCCUUUCUUGUGAUGACGUAAGAAUGUCAUUAUAUCUUCCAUCUGUCAUCACAUACAAGAAUCAUGUAUAAAAUUGUCAGAAUCAAUAAUAUUUUUCAACACACCAACAAGGGUAUAGAAUGAUCACCAUUUUUUCUGCAUAUUCAUAGCAUGGAUUAUGAGAAAUUCCACUUCUUGGUAGGUUUGGAUCAUAGUGCGCCACAUCAUGUUAGGUUUGUCAAUGAUAAGUAAAGUGAUAUUCCUCAUCAUGCCUCAAGGGAAAAAAGAAAAGAUCAUACUUGCCAAACUCGUUCAACAAUGAAUUGUAAAGAACCUUUUGAAGUUUUGAAAUGUCAUUCAUCUUGUGGUAUUCCUAUUUGACAUGAUCAUAUUGAAGACAUAACAUACUAGUUAAAACAUUCAAUAGGUAAAUUUAAAAAUAUGCAAAUAUAUGAAAAAUAAUAAACCCAAACAUGCGAAUAUCUUUUCAAUAAGUACCGAGACAAGAAUAGUCAUAAAGUAUGACUUAUGUUUCAAUUUGUUAUCACUUGCUAGCCUCCUAGAUAGCACUUCCGUGUACACAUGUAUGGUCUACAAGUACAAUACACUUACAUAUAUUAUUACUUCUCCAAUCUUUAUACCUUUAAAUGACCCAUUAAUUACCUGCCCUGUGAUUCCCUUGUUCGUGAUUAGAAACUCUACAUCUUCUUGCAUUAUUUGAGCUGUCUUUCCUGACCAUAAUGUUAUUCUAUUAUAUAUGGUUCAAUAAUACAAACACAUUAAUUACAAUGCUCUAAUUAAAUAGCUUAAAUGUACCAGUACUAUAAUAUGCUUAUACAAUGGUGUAAAAAUGAUUACUUACCCUGAAUAAUCGCUAUUUAAGAAGUUUUGAAGGCGUUCGUAGUCAUCUGUAUCAAACAUGGGACCGACAAAUGUUUUAGACAGAACAAUAUUUUUCUCACGACAUUUUCUUGCAACCUUCUUCAAAACAUAAGUAUCACAAUCUAUCUCUUAUCUAAUUGGAUCAUGAGGUGACCGACAUCCAAUUGGUUUCAUCUUCUUUCCUUUCUCUGCAUUUUCAUAAGGUAUGUCACCAACUUUCCUCAUUGAUUCAACAACACCAAAAUCUUGUGUUCCACAUUUUUCUUUCUUUUGCCAAAUUUUUUGUUUUAUUUGCAUAUUCGAAGUCAGUUUUUCUAAGUACCUUUCGUAAUUGUCUUCUUUUCACUCCUUUGAUUAUGAAUCCUAUUUUUGGAGAUAGUUGUUUUUUUUAUCGGCAUCUUCAAGUAAGACACUGAUUUGUUUACGAGCUUCCUCCAAUUCAGUUUCAGUUGCAGCCAAUGCCUCACUCAACAUAAUAGCUUAUACUUCAACUUGUUCACGGCUAACAUUCUUCGCAUCCAACUCCUUCUUUAGAAUUUCAUUUCAACAUGGAGUUGAUCUAUGUUCUCCUUUCCAUCCAUGUCAUUAGACUAUACCUCUCCAAAUAUUUUCAGUGGGGAUUUGAAUUGACUUGGAAGUAUAUCCCUUGUAGGUGCUUCAAAUUGAUCACUUAUUGUCUUCACACUACACAUGUUCUUUUCAAUGUUGUUUUCCGUUGAUUUGGAUGUAGGCGUACGUAAUAUAGGUUCUAUAGGUGAAACAGGUAUGUUCGAAUGUCCAACAACUACAAUUCUGAAAUCUUUAGCCACUUCAUCUUCCUUAAUAGGAUCAUCUACCUGAAAUUCUACUUAUGUUUUAGGCAAUGGAUCAUCUUCAUCAUAGGCCUACAUCACCAUCAAAACCCCAACCACAAAGGUUUCAAUAAAAUAUAAAUAUAAAUCAAACAAACUCAUAAACAAGAAUGAAACUUUAUAAACAUAUACUUUGUAAUAAUUUUAUACUUAAUAGUAAACUCCUUGUGUAUGAAGCUAAAGAAUCAUUGGUAGUGCAAAUUUCACGAAUGGUAGAGUUUGUCAACCUGAAGUCAUGGAAUGUAACAGAAAUACUGUGUUAGACUAUGGGUGGCAUUCAAAAGAAUAUGUCAACGAUAACAUAUGCUAGUUCAUGUUGCGGCCUAUAUUUAACUAACAGGGGAAGGGGGUCGGCUGCAAGGAGAGAGAUGAUGAAGGAUUUCUUCUCUCCUUUAUUACUAUAAAUAAAGGUACUACAUAGGGGGGAAUAACAUCAUCCUCUACACAUUCUUCUACACAACCCUACAAACACAAGUAAUACAAGUCCAUAUAGGAAAGAAUAACUAUAAUCAAAUCUAAUCUAGUAUUUACACAAUCACACUUAAACUAGAAAGUUUACUACACUCCCUCUUGAGUGCGUAAAUACUCAAGUAGAUUUGUCAUCAUGUUGAGGAAGUCAACUCGUCGUUACUAAUUUUGGGAACACGCUAUUCUCAAUAAGGUAGGAACUUGCAUAAGGAAGUAAGUCUCACAAAAAACCCUAUGGCUAUGGCAAAAACCCGAGUAGGGACAAAAUCCAUAGUCCAAGGAAAAAUGCGUGAGAAAUGCAAAGUUAAAUGAAACGUCUACGGAACGUCAUCAGGGAUAUGAUCAACCCAAGGUGGGUGCCUCGUUAAAACCUAGUUAGGUAGCAAAAACCCAGUGGGAAAAAUGCUCCUAAUCGUAGGGAAAAAAGUACAUUAAGAUCAAGCAAGUAUACUUUAGGAUACUCCCCCUGAGUUUGACAUAAUUCCAAAGAGAAUUAGCAAUGUUACAACUCAAAAAGUUUACGCAUACCAAUUCCUUGAACAAGCUUUGAAACGUCGCCUUCGGUGUGAUUUGGUGAAGAGGUCGGCCAGAUUGUCUUGUGAACAGAUUUGCGUGACUUCAAUCUUCUGAUGCUCUUGUUGUGAUGUGAGAAGAAGAACUUUGGCGUAAUGUGCUUGGUGUUGUCUCAUUUGAUAUAACCCUUCUUGAGUUGUUCAAUGCAUUCUAUUUUAUCUUCAUUGAUAAUCGUCGGGACUGAUGUGAAAAAUAAGUUAACACACAAAAUUAAACCCUCUUUUUAUCAAUUGUAGCAAAGCAUGUAAGUAGGGAUCGUUCUAAACCGGGGAUUAGGAGGGAUUGCUAAACACUUGAAAACUGACUUAGAAAUGUAAAAACAAAGUUUAAAACACUAGAUUAGACUCAAAGAAUGCAAAACUCACGUUUAAAAUACUAAAAUAAACCAAUAACUCAAAACAGCAACUAAAAGACUCAAAACUGCCUUAAAAACACUUUCUGGGCAGUUUUGAACACAAAGCACCAAUUUGGACGAAUUUGGGUUUUAACUUGUACCAAAACACUUAAAAACAUAAACCAACACACUUUCUAACUAAUCUAGGACUUCAAAAUAAAUGGGGAAUUGAUUUGGACGAAAAUGAACUAAAUGGACAGAUUGCAAGGAAAACAGAUUGUAAUAGAAACAGAUUGUAACACAAAGUUAUGAAUAAUCAAUGGAUGAUGGAAUGGCUAAGGGGUUCUUCUCCACACAUGAAAUAUAUGCAACCUAAAUUAAUUUUCAGUUAUCAAUUUAAUAAGUUAUGAAUCUCGACACUCCAAGUUAAUUAGGUCCGCUUAAAUUAACCUUCAGAUUUCCCUAGAAUCAUUGAAUUGGAUGAAUAUGCAUCGCAAACAAAUUAUUCCCAACAAGUUCUUUAUAUGAACAGCAUGAUAAAGACACAAGUUAGAAUCAUUACGUUCCUUGGAAAUCAUAAGCAUCGACAAGGCAUUCGUAACUAUGAAAAGCAUGAUACUUUUGCCAGGAAUCUACUUAAUACGAUCGUGACUAGCGACCUUCACUACUUACGAAUAUAAAUUCAUAACGAUUAGGUGAAACAAACUUAUAUCCUAGCAUCAAAUUCAAGCAUGCAAAUUAAGCGUGCACUCUCAACCAACAUACAAGAAUAAGUUCUAAAUCAAACGGUUAAGCAAAUUGUAUUCACGACUUAUACAACGAUAACUGAAAGUAAUCAACUUAUUUCACAUAUAUAAUCAUGGUUUUGAAUCCACCCUUAGCCAAAAUGAAAUUAGCCAAUCAUACUUAAAGCAAAACAAAGAUUACAUGAAUUAGACAUUAAAAUCCAAAUAAAGCAAAACACCUAGAAUGCUCCAACUUGGCAGCAAGUGCAUCCAAGAUUCCUCCUUUCCCUUGCUUGUGGCAGAUUGGUUUGUGGACAGGUUUUGGGUAGUUCUAUGGUGCAGAAAGGUUUAUGGUGAGUGUAGAGGAGUGUUUGAUGGUGGAAGGGUGGUGGAGAACUUAGGCAAAGAGGGUGGAAGAAGGUGGAGUGGCUGUGAUAUUUUCUGGGCACUAGAAUGGUGUUUUUGGGGUGUUUUGCUGCCUAGGGUGAGUAUGGACGAAUUUCUGUGAUGAAUGGUGAAUAUGAGAGUGUGAACCCUUUGCCAAGGGGUGUAAACAUGUAUAUAUAGGCCCCAAAAACCCUAGAGAAUCAGAUUGGGCAGUGGGGAAAAUGCACAGCAAGGAGGGUGAAUUUGUGGUGUGCAAUGGUCCAAGGAUGAAAAUGGAGCAAUGAUGCAAAGUAUGGAGGGUAAAAUGGAGUGGUAUUUCAGCUAGAGAGCAUGAAUGAUUGUGUUCAUUGCAUGGAAAUGAAAAGGGGAGGUGAAAUGUUUCAAAAAUUAGUCAAAGGUGCAGCAACAUGUGUUGCACACAGCAUUGGAUCCCAAAUGUGGAUGAUGGAGCAUCAAUUGGUGCAUGGAAUGGUUGUGAAAGUUGUGUGAAAUCUGAUGGGUGAAGGGAACAAGAGGUAUGCAGCAAUUGAGUGUGAUAAUUGAGUGAAUUGAGGCAUGAAAUCAGAAAUAUUUUAGGGGACAAGGAUGAUUAAGCAUGCAUGGGAAUCCAAAGGGAAUGCUAUGUGGUUACACGGCAAGGAGUGGGUGUUCUUUUGUGGCUGAAUUCUUGAUCCUUUGUACAUUAAUUCUUCACAUUCUUAGCAUCUUUAAUUCUUCAAUUUCGUCCAAACCUUGGUUCCAAAUAUGUGACAUGCAUUCCAAGCUCCAUUUUGCUCCAAAAUGCUCCAAAAUGCAUCUUCUUGCCUACUUUGUCCUUAAAAUCUGAAAACACACGAAAAUGACUUUAAACACUAAAAUAACUAAAGAGACACGACAUAAAUGCACAAGAACAAGCCAAUUAAGUCGCAUAAAUAUGCUCCUAUCAGGGACAUCAACGACGGGGUAAAGAUUGCAGAAGCUUCAAAUAUGGCCCACAACUGCUCUCAACCAAAAGCAUUUCUGAGUUGCUUUGUGUAAGGCAAGAAUUUCAGCAUGGUUAGACAAAGUGGUACUAAGGUCUGUUUAGUUGACCUCUAAGAAAUUGCGGUGCCUCAAACGAUAAAGACAUAACCCGUUCAAGAGCGUACCUUGUACGGAUUAGAUAAGUAUCCUGCAUCGGCAUAAUCAACAAGGCGAGAAUCGACUCAAGUUAAGGGUGUGCGACAUCACUCGAGGAUGUAUAGGGAUAGAACAAGCCCAAAUCCGUAGUACCCUUAAGGUAACGAAAGAUGUCUUUAACGCCAAUCCAAUGUUUGCGUGUUGGUGCAUUACUGUAUCUUGCCACAAGAUUAACAGCGAAUGAGAUGUCGAGUUUAGUGCAUUGAGCUAAGUACAAUAACGAGCCUGUCGCACUUAGAUAAGGAACUUCAAGCUCUAAAAUCCCUUCAUCAUCCUCAUUCGGAUGGAAGGGAUUUCAUUUUGCAUCUAGCGAUCGAAUGACCAUAGGAGUACUCGAAGGCUUUGGUUUAUCCUCAUAAAGCAGCGCAACACCUUAUGGGUGUAGUUAGAUUGAUGUACUAAGAUUUCAUCCGAAUGGUGCUAUAUCUUAAGACCGAGACAAUAUCGAGUCUUUCCUAGAUCUUUCAUCUCAAAUUUUGACUUCAGGUGCGCAACAGUUUUCGCGAGCUCCUCAGGAGUUUCGAUAAGGUUCAUGUCAUCAACAUAUAUUGCAAUUAUUACAAAACCGGAAUGUGAAUUCUUAAUGAAUGCACAAAGGCAUAGUUCGUUGUUCACAUAUCCCUGACUAUACUCACUCAGACGGUUAUACCACAUUUUUCCGGAUUGCUUCAAACUGUAGAGUGAACGCCUCAACCGAAUUGAGAGUGUGUUCCGAGGUUUAGAAAUAUUUGAUCCAGUCAAUGUAAGACAUUUGGGAAUUUUCAUAUCCGUAUUAAAAUCCCCAUAGAGAUACGUAGUUGCUACAUCCAUCAGCUGCAUACUCAGUUUUUCGAAAACUACCAAACUGAUAAGGUAGCAAAAAGUAAUCACAUCCAUAACACAUGAAUAAGUUUCGUCAUAGUCAAUCUAAAGGCGUUGUGAGAAGCCUUGCGCAACAAGAUGAGCUUUGUAAUGCACAAUUUCAUUCUUCUCAUUACGCUUUCGAACGAAAACCCACUUCUAGCCAACGUGCUUCACAUGUGGAAGAGUAGGAGCUAUAGGUUUAAACACCUUACGUUUCGCAAGUAAAUCGAGUUCGACUUGGAUUGCUUGUUUCCAGUUUGACUAAUCGGUUUUACAUUGAUAUUCAUCAACAGAACGUGGUUCAAUGUCAUUGCUCAACAUGAUCUCAGUAGCUACUAUAUAUGCUAAUGCAUCAUCGAUGAUUAUCUCAUUUCUACACCACACAUCAUCUAAGCUAGCAUAAUAGACCAAAAUCUCAUGAUUCUCGGGAGGUAGAUUCAUCUCUUCAAGGACACUUCUGUAAUCUUGAAUUUCCUCAUGAGUUGGAUAUAAUGAGUAAGCGACAGUCGGAUUCACGGUAGGCUCUUCAGGUGCCUGUGUCAUGGGUUUCCUCUUCUAGGGGUGUGAAUCCUUGAACUAAGAGGUCUGCCACGCUUUUGUGUAGGGGCAGAUGAUUGGCUAGCUACUAAUGUACGUGGAUUAGCUAAAGUGGCAUUCCGGGCCUCCAGGAGGGAAAUCCGUCGUACAUUUGGUACAUCCAUCUUUACAAGCAGAUUCGCAGUUGGAAUAUGUGAUCUUGUCACUCGCGCUAGAUCGAUGAAAACAUUUGGCAUACUCUAAGCUAUGCUCUGAAGAUCUAAUAUGCGUUGCACUUCAGUUUCAGACUGAGCAGUGGGGGGAUCUAAAUGAGACAAAGUGGGAGUCGUCCAUGAUAAUUCACGUCAUUCAUCAGGAACGUUGACAUUCUUAUCUCCUCUUAAUGACGGAAAGACUGUCUCAUAGAAGUGACAAUCCGCAAAACUAGCGGUAAACAGAUUGCUUGUUAAAGGUUCUUAGUAACGAAUAAUUGAAGGAGAAUCAUAUCCGACAUAGAUUCCCAUCAUUUGCUGAGGCCCCAUUUUUGUACGUAAAGGCGAAGAAAUUGUUACAUAGACCGCACAACAAAAAACACACAGAUGCGAUAUGUCGAGUUCGUAUUUGGUAACCAACUGAAAUGCGCUAUAUGGCUGGGUUACAAUAGGCCUCAGGCAGACCAACAUGGCUGCAUGCAAUAUUGCAUGGCCCCAAGCAACGAUCGGGAGCUUAGUACGUAUGAUCAACGAUUGAGUAAUCAUUUGUAAGUGCUUAAUGAAUGCCUCAGCCAAGCCAUUCUGGGUGUGAACAUGGGGUACAUGAUGUUCAACUUCAACCCCAACCAACAUGCAAUAGUCAUCAAAAGUUUUAGAUGUGAAUUCUCCAUCAUCAUCCAAUCGAAUAAAUUUGGUCGGAUAAUUAGGGAAGUGAGCCCUAAGCUUAAUAAGUUGAGCCAACAAUUUGGAUAAUGUAGCGUUCCUUGUGGACAACAAGCAUACGUGUAACCAAAGUGUGGAGGCGUCAACCAAAACCAUAGAAUAUCUAAAUGGUCUGCAUUGAGGGUGAAUCAGUUCACAAACGUCCCCCUGAAUCAUUUGUAGAAAAAUAGGAGGAUUCCUAAAUCCUUUGUAGAAAAAUAGGAGGAUUCGAGCGAAUCUUAUCAUAAGAAAGCUUAAUAAUAAGUUUUCCCAUGAAGCAGGUUUCGCAUGUGAUUCCUUGAAUCGAACCUAAACUUCAGGUUAGUGGAUGCCCAUGUGAAGAUUUGAAGAUACAGCGUAUCACUGUUCAUCCAAGUUGUCCCAAAUGAUCAGGCUAAAGUGUAAUUUCGUGUGCGGUCCCUUGAGGUAAGGCCAGCCAUAUAGUGGCUUUCAAUAGGGUGUAUGGUCGUAGUAUACAUACCACUUGAGAUACCCUACAUCUUCUAUAGAAUACGCUUUUUGCCAUAUUCGUAGGACGUUAUGCACAGAAAUUCAAAUCCAUUUUCUACAUAGGUUUUAGCGUGGUAAUUAUUGUCUCGAAUAUCUUUAAUGCUUAACAACGUUCUUUCGAAAUGUGGAAAAUAAAGUGCCUCUUGAAUGGUCAAAAUAAUGACAUUGGACAACAUUAUACAGGCCUUUCCAUAUCCUUCAAUUAGGUUGAAUGAACCUGAAAGGGUUGUCAGAGGUGUAUUCUUAGGUAUGAAGUUAGUGAAAUAUAUGCGUUCAUGCAAAACGAUGUGCAUGGUUGCAUUAUCUGGUAGACAACUAACUUUCCCACUAAUCAUGCCUAGAAUAAAAAUUAAUUUGAAUUGGCCACAUGCAUAAAAGUUUGAAAACUUAAAUCCAUUCAAUUAAUUUUGUCAAGAAAAAUUUAUGAACUUCAGGUUCAUAGUACCUACAAACAAAUGUAUAUAUAUAUACAAAAAUAUGUAAUAAGAAAAUAUGCAAAUAGAACUUUAGGUCUAGAAUUAUAAUUGAAUUAAUUAUUUGGACUUCAGGCCAAAUUUAAAGUGUGGGUGAAAAAAAUAUAAAACCCAACGUGCCUAAAAAAAAAAAAAUUAAACUCAGGGUCCAAAAACAGGGACCAUAAACCCACAGGUGGGUUGAGCAAAUCGGAUUGAUAGGCGCAAGCCCAAAAAUUGGGCUAGGGUAAGGCACAGGUAACAAGCCUAGGGCUGCAGGCCCAGGAAUCAGGAGUGGGCUGCAAAGGCAAAACCCAAAAGAAAGCCCAAAUGGGUUUUGAUCCAGUGCUACGCAGUGCACCGAUGUUCCAGCAGCGGCUAGAUUGUGUGCGAUGGGCACGGAUGCACCAGCAAAGCUAGGUUCCGGUGUGUCACAGCGUAGGGGGUCCACAACUGCCGCUUAGGUUGGGUUCUACUGUAGCAGGGACACGGGGGACACUAACGGGCUGAUACUUGCCGAGAAACAGGCCAAGCCCAAGUGUGCUUGGGUUUUUUAUCUAGACACCCCAGUGUGAGCUGGGUGAACUCGCUAAAGAAGAAGACCGGCGCCACCACUUUAGGCGGUCCUGUCAUGGUGUAAAAAAUCACUGCAAAGGCUGUUGGUUUGACGACAACCCAUAAAUUUGAAUGGAGAGUGAAAAACUCUCAAUGUUGUAAAACCUAGAAUUUUUCGAUAUUAAUUUCAAAAAAGAAAAAAUACAUCGAAUUUCAAGCAAGGACUCGUCGAUGACGACUUCAGGUCGUCAGGGAAGUAACUAGAAAUGGCUGGGCAUGGCUGCAUGCUAUGCUACUCGACAGUUCAAGGGAGGCGACACCAUCUAGGCGUCGAGCUUAGGGUUUGGGUCUGGAGACGUGGAUCCAGGUUCGGGUUCUCGGCUCGGGGGAAAAGAAGCCAAUCGACAUGGAUGAGUUUUCAACGAAACCCUAAAAAAUUCUUUAUAACUUUUUUCAAUUCCAGAUUAAUUCAAUGCAUAUUCAUAUAAAUAAUUUAAUGCAUGAGCAGAUAUUUGAUACAAUUCAUGGCAAUAUCAAAUUCACAUAAUUCAACAAUUACGGAUAUAAUGCAUAUACAAUUUAUGUAAAAUCUAAAAUUUGAAAAAUGUAUAGUUGUGCCAUGCAUUAUGGUGCAUGUUCAUGCUAUCAGGGCUGCAAAAAUAUCGAGAUAAAAAUCGUUGUUUAGAAAGAACAUGAUUGCGUGAUGAUAUUGAUGAAUUGGUUUGAUGCAAAAAAAAUUCUUCAAUUUCGACUUUCCAUCUCCAAAGUUUAUAUCAUGUUCAACACAAAAAAUUUAAAUUGAAUCAAUAAAAGUAUGAAUCAAUUAAAAACAAUUGAAACGUAAUACUCCCCUGAUUAAAGACGAAUAAUUUUUAUGUUAGAUUCCUAAGCACAGCAGUAGGAGCAUGCUGAUAACGUGUUGUGGCCUAUAUUUAAUUGAUAGGGGAAGAGGGCUGGCGGCAGAGAGAGAUUGAAGAGAUAUGUGUUUGUAGGGUUGUGUAGAAGAAUGUGUAGAGGAUUAUAUUAUUCCCCCCUACGUAGUGCCUUUAUUUAUAGUAAUAAGGGAGAGAAGAAAUCCUUCAUCCCUAAGGAAUACAAGUCCGCAUAGGAAAGAAUAACUAGAAUCAAAUCUAAUUUGGGAUUUACACAAUCACACUUAAACUAGAAAGUUUACAAAAAUUCAUUUAUUUUCAUAGUAAGAUGCACGAAAUAAAGAAAGUUAGACAAAAAAGCAUAAUAUCAUUAGUUAACAUAUAUAAAUGUACCUCCAAGGUUUUCAAGUCCAUUUUGGUCAAUGUUUUGUGUAAUUGGAAUAAACUUCACCUUAAAAAGUUAGGUAGUUUGUUCUCUCUACCAAUGAUGGGGUAAGUAAUCUUGUUUUUCCACCAAACCAAAAGUAUAGACAUAAAUAGUAGUAUAAUGCAUCAGAAUCAACAACUAUAGCACUUUUUCAACAAAAGAAAGAAAAACCACAUUAUGAAAAACGUACCAACAAAGCCGGAACACGUCUUGUUACCAAAUGUGGCUUAUUGGCAUGUACAAGCGAUUUGUUCAAACACUCAGCAAUCGCUGCUACCCAAUUAUAUGUUUGAAUUUGAUCUAAGUUUUCACAUAUACCCACAAGCUUCCACGAAAUUUGAGUACAACUAUUGCACAAUAAGAGUGUGUUACAGAAAUAAAUGCACAUUAAACGUGCAAGGUCUACACGCUCUUCAUUUGAUCUUUCGGCAACUAUAUUUCUUAUGGAUGCCUCAAUUCUAGUCUUUGUAUGAAUGUUGUUUUUUUUGUUUUCUCUCCUGGCGUACUGGUGUAUUCCAAUUUUGUUCCCCUCAUUAGGAAUGCCAAAUAUAUCACCCCUUUGAUGUCACCAAAUACAAAGCACCUUUGGUCUUUGUCAUAUUGUUCAAUUAUCAUCUUGAUAUCAUUGUCUAAAGUGCUCAGUUGUCACAAGCUUAUCUCUGUAUGCUCAAUAUAUCUCCAAAAUAGUGUUGUCUUCAUAUGAAUAUCAUGUCCAGCUUUAACAUAUUCUUCAAUUGUACCAUACAAACCAGCGAAGUGUAGAAGAUUAGGUCAGUAGUUCAUGCUCCCAUUCUUAGCCGUUAGUAUCGCCAUGAUGUACCUGAAACAUUUUUAGUCAAAUAAUUUGUACCAAUAUAUAUAUAUAUAUAUAUAUAUAUAAAUUCUAGGAUGCAAGAUGUCCACACGAAUUAUAUAUAUAGCACACUACACGAAUCAUAAAUUAUAGGCUACAAACGUACCAAAAGGUAGGUGUUAAACUACGAACAUGUUUACCAAUUAAAAAUUGCUAUCAAAACCUUUGAAUUCAAAAGACUAUCAAAACCAAACAGCAUAUCAUAUUCAUGUUCAAGCAUACUACAAGAAGAGAUAUAGCAGUACGCUAACCAAUGUACCAAUCACAGCCAACACACAUAAGAUCAAAACCUUUGACUUCAAAAGACAAUAAAAAAUGAAUGCACCCAACUGAUAAUUUGAAUAAAGAUCAAUAAUUAGAACCUGAAUACCAGCGUCGACCUCGGUACGGAAAGAAGGCUUAUGAAACUUAUGGUACGUUCAUAGGAGGGAAGAAAGUGUCGUUGGAAAAUAGAAUUCAUUAGAGAAAAAAAACAUUCCUAAUAUCCUUAAAUUUAAUUUAAGGGAGUUUUAACAAAACACUCCCGGUACUGUUCACUUUUAACGAAAAAUCAUAUUUUUACCUUUAACUGACAUUAUUCACUAUACAUUUAAAAAUGGCUUUUCGUUAAAAGAGAAGUUUUUUUGGCCUUUUGCUUAGUUUUUCUUAAAUUUAAAUCCUUUUGAUAUUCAACAAUCAAUUUUCUUCUUAGAUUAAAACUCUAAGACAUUAGUUAGCAAGAAUCUAGGAACCUUCUAUCCUUUGGCGUGAAGAAAUUGGAUAUGGGAAACUGAUAUGUUAAAAGCUAUGGCAAAAUAUGUAAUUUAGGUACAUUACAAUGGGUUAAUUAAAAUACACAUGGCACCAAAAUUGUAGGAGAAUGUUUAAUCAAGGGAGCUUUAUAUAUAGAGAUAAAAACUUUCACUAUAUUUCAAGUAACUCCACUAGUUUUUAAAUAUGUCAAUGAGAGACAAAAAUAUAAAAAAAAAAUUAAAGCCUAGCCCAAAAACAUGGAAACAAUGUUUUAAAAUACCAGUCAUACCCCUAAGGCUUUAGGGUUAUAUAUAAAACUCAACCCUCACAAGUUCAACAAAAUUAAUAUGUGACAUAAGCUUAACCUAUGCUCGACUAUUUCUGCAGAAUUAGUUUUGAACCUAUAUGUAGAACCAGUUUAUAACAUUUAUUACUUGAAUUAGUUCAACCCGUCCUUGACCAUUUUUGCAGAAUCAGUUUAAUCUGUCAUUGACCAUUUUUGCAGAAUCAGCUUAAUCUGUCAUUGACAAUUUUUGCAGAAUCAGUUCAACCCGUCCUCAACCGUUUUUGCAGAAUUAAUUCAACUCGUCCUUGACCGUUUUUGCAGAAUCAGUUCAACCCAUCUUCGACCAUUGUUGCAGAAUUAAUUCAACUCGUCUUCAACCAUUUUUGUAUAAUCACUUCUACCUGAUGUCGACCAUUUUUGCAUAAUCAGUUCAACCCGUCCUCGACAUUUUUACAAAAUCACUUCAACACUUCCUCGACCAUUUUUUGUAAAACCAUUUUAACCCGACUUCAACUAUUUUUGUAGAAUCAAUUCAAAUCGUCUUCGACUAUUUUUGUAGAAUCAGAAUCACUUCAACCCAUCCUCGACCAUUUUUGCAAAAUCACUUCAACUCAUUCUCGACAAUUUUUUCAUAAUCACUUCAAAUUCUCCUCGACCAUUUCUUUUUUGCAAAAUCAGUUUAACCUGUCUUUGAUCAUUUUUUUUUGCAGAAUCAAUUGAACCCGUUCGACCUUUUUUUUUGUAGAAUCAGUUCAACCCAUCUUCGAUCAUUUUAUGCAGAAUUAGUUCAACUCGUAUUUAACCAUUUUUUGCAGAAUCAGUUUCAAAUUCAUAUAGAAUCAAUUUUGUGACAACCCGUCCCAAAUUUUACGAUUUUAUAAAUUUUUAAGGGUUGUUAUUCAUUAUUCUAUUCAUUUCUUAUGGUUAUUGUUAUUUUUACUAAUUGAGGGGCUAGAAAAAUUGAGGGAAAAAUAAAAAGAAAAGAAGAAAAGAGGAAGGCUGCUUGAUGGUAGCGAAGUGGAGAGGGAGAGAAAGAAGAUGGACACUGCCCAAUCAAGAAAGGAGGAGAGUGAGAGUGACGAAUGGGAGAGAAGAACCAGGAGGGAAAGGAGGAAGGUGUAGAGCACCCAACCGGAACCUUUUUGGUGACCCGUUCACCCGCACCCAACCGAGCUUCGAAACCGGUGGAAUUCCGGCAGUUUCGAGUGGUUUUUUUAGGCGAAUUUCAUCCCAUUUACACCUGCAAUCAUCACCAUACCUAUUCCCCUUCAUUCUUCUAUCAAGAUUAUAUGGAAAUUGGGUCAUAUUUGUGACAUUUUGUAAUGGUGACACCGACGGGUCUUAUGUCGAUUCUCCCAUUUCUGAAGCAAUUUCUUCCAAUUGCCACCACUAAUAGACUUCCCUUGAAGCCUAGAACAAUGUCCAACCAUUGGUUGGAGUGUCGGAGUCGAAUUAGGGACAAAUCAAGAACACCCAUUUCUAGGGUUCCCGGCGGAUUCAAGGCAAAUUGAAGCCUUUUUAGGCCAAAUUGGACUUGGCCACAGGUAUAAAGUUUGCUCUACUCUUUGAGAUCUUCAUUUCUGUAAUUUUUGAGAAUUUUUAGAAAUAGUUGAGUUUUCCGGCGAGCCGGGGCGGCCGACCGCCACCUGCGCCGGCUGGUGUGGCGACGCGUGGUCAGGGGGUUGUCGAUGUUAUUGUUAGGCUAAUUAGAUGCCUUGAGUUCAGUUUUGGUAAUUGUAUGACAUAGGUUGAUUGUUGGAAUCUAAAUCCUCUACGUUACUUGGUAAAGAUAUGAAUUGACGAUCCAACCGUUGGAUCGUCACCAAACUUUAAUAUGUUAUAGUACGUAAUAUUUGAGAACCAUAGAAACUUACGGAUCGGGAGUCUGACAUACAGAUCUUUUGGAAUUGGAUUUGUAAGUUCAUAAAAUAAAAUGUUGACCACCACUUGGUUUUUGGCAAUUGGUGGAGAUCCGACCGUUGAAUCAUAAUGAAACCUUAGGAUGUUGUUCUAGAAGUAUAAUUUGGAUCUUUGGAAGAAAUGGAUCGGAAAUCUGUGGUGCAGAUCUUCCGAAUUGAAUUAUGUAGUGAUGUGUUUUAUGUAAAUGAUGUAUUCUAUCGGUCAGAACUCUGAGAUGUGAUUUGAUAAUUGGUCACAUACGACGAUAGUUCGUGAUGUCUCGAUAUGUGUGCUAGGGAGUCAUAGCACGGACCUUAGGUGAGUGGGUUAUAUAUAUAUAUAUAUAUAUAUAUAUAUAUAUAUAUAUAUAUAUAUAUAUAUAUAUAUAUAUAUGAUUGACAAUUCCACAAAUGGUCAGAAAUUGAUUAUUGCAUAUAAUUACUGUUAAUGCUUUGAAGUACUAAUGUGAACUACGAAUGGCUUGAUCCCUGUUUAGGGUACGUAGGCAGUCUAACGAGAUGUUAGAUUCAACCAUACAAGAAGUGAAACUAAAUAAUUGAGGUAAUAGUCUAGUUAGGGAAUUGAGUAAUGUGAGGGACAUUGGUGGAAAGUGUGAAGGUUAACCUUACUACUUGGUGAUUAAUUGUUGGUCAUAAAUCAAUGUGUGAAGAAUCAAGAAUUUGAAGUAAGGAAAUGUAAGUAAUGAUAGUUAAUUAAACUAGUGUCUAGUGGGCCUAUCACCGAUAAUUAUUUCUGAAAAUAAAUAGUUUGAGAGUAGUGCGUUACAGCUUAUGCAUUUUAUGCCAUAUAUAUAUGGAUGUAUAUAAUUGAUAAUACUAUGACAUGUUUGAGUAUCAGAUUGCAUCAUGUUUCAUUUAUAUGUACAUUACUUGCACAUAAUUAUUGUCAACACUUGAAGUGCAAAAGUAAAUGCAGGACACGCAGGUAAGUUCAAGUAAGUUUAUGGUAUUAGUUGAAAUGAUGGAGUCAUGGCAUGACUACAUACAUGUUUUAAGCAACUUCGACAUUGUCGUAUGGGUUGUCCAUAAGUCGUAUAUGUUAUAUUGAGAUACAUUGAGAGCUCAUAAACCUGCACCCCAGUGUUAGUGCUCCCGCCCGUGGCCAGUGCACAGUCCUUCACGUGAUGUUCACCUCCCGCACCUUAUGCUCACUUUGGAUCCAAGGUAGGUGCACAUGCCUAUCUUACAGACCACUAUAGGUGGUUUCGACUCGUAGAUGACCUGCGAUUAUUCGUACAAUCUUCACGUGAUCGUAGCACUUGAGCGUAUUUAUUUACACCCAGUCCUGUCGUACAGACCGCUUUAGGUAGUUCCGACUCGUGUGUAGGUAUACUUAUUGGGGUAUGGAUAAGUCAUACAGGUCACUAGAGAUGACUCUGACUUAUGAGCUAGCAUACGUGAUGAGAUAUGUGAUGAGCUAGCAUAUGUGAUGAAAAUGUUAUGAGUUAGCAUAUGUGAUGAGAUAUGUUAUGAGCUAGCAUAUGUGAUGAAUAUGUGAUGAGCUAGCAGAUGUGAUGAAAAUGUUAUGAGCUAGCAUAUGUAAUGAGAUAUGUGAUGAGCUAACAUAUGUGAUGAAAAUGUUAUGAGCUAGCAUAUGUGAUGAAUAUGUGAUGAGCUAGCAUAUGUAAUGAGAUAUGUGAUGAACUAGCAUAUGUGAUGAGAUAUGUUAUGAGCUAGCAUAUGUGAUGAAUAUGUGAUGAGCUAGCAUACGUGAUGAGAUAUGUGAUAAGCUAGCAUAUGUGAUGAAAUAUGCGAUGAGAUAUGGGUAAGUUGUACAGGUCACCCUAGGUGACUCCGACUUGCGUGCUAGUAUGAAUUAUUAAUCACAUGAUUAUUUGAUAUUAUUAAUGAGAUGUUGUGUUGUGGUAUAUUUAUGAUUUUUCUGAAAAUUAUACAUGUGUUGUAGCGAGGGGCUAUAAUGUUUUAUAUGGUUUCUAUUAAAAUUUUACUUACAAGGCCCCUCACCCUUGUCUUGUCUAUGAGCUAGCAUACGUGAUGAGAUAUGUGAUAAGCUAGCAUAUGUGAUGAACUAGUAUAUGUGAUGAGAUAUGGGUAAGUUGUACAGGUCACCCUAGGUGACUCCGACUUGCGUGCUAGUAUGAAUUAUUAAUCACAUGAUUAUUUGAUAUUAUUAAUGAGAUGCUGUGUUGUGGUAUAUUUAUGAUUUUUUUUGGAAAUUAUACAGGUGUUGUAGCGAAAGGCUAUAAUGUUUUAUAUGGUUUCGAUUAAAAUUUUACUUACAGGGCCACUCACCCUUGUCUUGUCUUCACCCUCCUGGUUUUAUUAGCUGAGCUUUCUUAUUGCCGAAGAUUCGUGGCAAUUCUUAGUAUUGGAGACUAUUUCGAGGAUACGAUUCUUAAUUCACUCUUCUGUACUUGCUUAUGCUUUAACGUCACGUGUAAAGUGGGUUCAUUCCCUCUCACCAGUGCACUCUGGUAUUUAGGCACUCUUAGGUUUAAAUUUAUUCACAAUUUUCCACAUCAUCACACUUUAUGGCUUCGUCACCUUCACGGUGUCGGCCAGAACAGCUCGAUUCGGAGUCCUAGUGGACAUUCCGGGUCAGGGUGUGUCAAAUUUUGUAUACUUUUUAAGUAGAAUCUUUUUGUAUAGUUUUAGUAGAAUUAGUUUGUAUAUUUUCAAUAAAAAUGCAUACAUCCCAUCGGCCCAACCUCUCAUCGACUAUUUUUGUUAGUUUUAAAUAUAUGUUAAAUCAAUUUUGUAUAAUUUUUAGUAUAACCAAUUUUGUAUAUUUUUUGUAAACAAGUUUGGCAACUGGCCAUCCACUUAACCUCACUUAACAAAUCCAAAUCUUUUUUUAUUUGAAAUCUAACUCUUUUUGUAUUAGAAAUCCAACUAUGUUCUAUCGAAAAUAAAAAAUCAAACAAAUACGAUUCUUCAUCAAAAUUGUUUCCUUCUCCAAGCAUUGUUCAUUUCCCUAAUCUCUACUAGGACUGAGCAUUGGGUGGGUUGGCCUGUUUAAAAGCAACAUGUAGGUCGAUAAAUUAUGCUCGAGUCAUUAUUCGACCAACCCAUCACCACAAUAACAACAACAACAACAAAGCCUUUUCCCACUAAGUGGGGUCGGCUAUAUGAAUCCUAGAACGUCAUUGCGCUUAGUUUUGUGUCAUGUCCUCCGUUAGAUCCAAGUACUCUAAGUCUUUUCUUAGGGUCUUUUCCAAAGUUUUCCUAGGUCUUCCUCUACCCCUUCGGCCCUGAACCUCUGUCCCGUAGUCACAUCUUCGAAUCGGAGCGUCAGUAGGCCUUCUUUGCACAUGUCCAAACCACCGUAACCGAUUUUCUCUCCUCUUUCCUUCAAUUUCGGCUACUCCUACUUUAUCUCGGAUAUCCUCAUUCCUAAUCUUAUCCUUUCUCGUGUGCCCACACAUCCAACGAAGCAUCCUCAUCUCCACUACACCUACGUGUUGAUGCUUCACCGCCCAACAUUCUGUGCCAUACAGCAUCGCCGGCCUUAUUGCCGUCCUAUAAAAUUUUCCCUUGAGCUUCAGUGGCCUACGACGGUCACACAACACGCCGGAUGCACUCUUCCACUUCAUCCAUC
This 32366-nucleotide long non-coding RNA is filed under the name Malus domestica (apple). RNAcentral describes it as "long non-coding RNA (MDOM_LNC003977)". The record is from RNAcentral. Lineage: Eukaryota; Viridiplantae; Streptophyta; Magnoliopsida; Rosales; Rosaceae.